UUGAUAACAUUUCCUGAGGUCGCGGCCCGAAACAUUAACUGUUUAUUCAAUUCCAUAGAUGCUGCCUGACCUGCGGAGUUACUCCAGCAUUUUGUGCGCCCGUUGCUGAUUCCCAGCAUCUGCAGAUUUUCUCUGAUUUGGACUAGCCGCAUUUGGAAGCUGAUUGGCUGAAUAAAAAUGUUUUACAAGUGCAAAAUGCUGGAGGAACUCCAGUAGGUCAGGCAUGAUGGUGCAGAGUCUCCGCCCUUAAUGUCAGCAGUCUGACCUGCUUGAUUUCUCCCGCAGUUUGUGUGUGUCGCUCUGGGUUUCCAGCAUCUGCAGAAUCUCCUGUGGGUUUUUUUUUUGUUUCUGUGAGCCGGUUGGACUUUGACUUUUGUCACAGAGUUACUGAGUACAUUGUUUUUGGGAGAUGUCAUGGUACAUUGACCGCUUUGCUCCCUGCCUGACGGGUCUUUGAGCCAGUGGCAGACACGGUCAGAGACUCUGCAGAUGCCGGAAAGCCAAGCGACGCACACACACGCAAGAUGCCGGAGGAACUCAGCAGGCCGGGCAUUUCCCCCCAGCACUUUGUGUUUUGACAUCCAUCAAAGCUCUUAUUUCAAAUUGUAGGCCAGACAUCCUUCUUGAGAUCGGAAAACAUCAGUUGAGGCUUCAAGGUCUAGGCUUCUGUUAAAGGUGAAAACCACAAUUAAAAAAUCUCUCCAAUCACUGCGGCAACGAAGUUGGGAUAAGGAACAGGAAGGACAGGCCCUGAGAAUAUCUUCACUGGAGAUCAGAAGAUCGGCUGCUUGAAGUGUGGGAGGCAUUCACUUCGUCAUCGGACCAGGUUCCUGGCUAGCGGAGACCAACUGUGGGAAGGGAUACACUCAAUCCCCUCAUCUGGUGAUACAGCAGUGAGUUCCAGCAGGGGACAGACCGAUCAUUGUGGGAAGAGACUCAUUCAUUUGUCCCAUCUGAUAAUACACCAGCAAGUUCACAUGGGGAGAGGCCGUUACCAGUUCAGGCAGCGGGAAGGGAUUGACUUCCUGGUAUGGAAACACCAAUGCCUUUGGCCCAGUACAUCAGGAGUAAGGUCCUCCAUUGAACACACCUACAUGAAACCCCGUUACAGGAAAGCAGCAUUCAUCAUCAAAGAUCCUCCACCCAGACCGAGCUCUUUUCUCGCUGCUGCCGCCAGGAAGAAGGCACAAGAGCCUCAGGACUCACACCACCUGGUUCAAGAACAGUUACUACCCCUCAACCAUUAGGCUGUUGAACGAAAGCGUAUAACUUGCCCAUCCAUUGAGAUGUUCCCACAACCAAUGAUCUCACUUUGAGGACCCUUUAUCUUGUUAUUUCGGGUUCUCAUUAUUUAUUAAACGCAAAGAACACUGCAGAUGCUGGGGUCAAAUCAACACGUACAAACAAGCUGGAGGAACUCAGCAGGUCGGGCAGCAUCUGUGAAAAUGAACCGUCAACGUUUCGGGCCGAGACCCUUCGUCAGUCCUGACGACCUGCUGAGUUCCUCCAGCUUAUUUGUACCUGUUUCAUUAUUUAUUGCCAUUUAUUUACAUUAGUAUUCACAGGGUUUGUUGUUAUCUGCACUCUAGCUGAUCUUUCAUUGAUCCUGUUAUAUUUACUGUUCUAUAGAUUUGCUGUGUAUGCCCGCAGGAAAAUGAAUCUCAGGGUUGUAUAUAGUGACAUGUAUGCACUUUGAAAAUAAAAUUUACUUUGAACUUC
Long non-coding RNA from Hypanus sabinus (Atlantic stingray), 1719 nucleotides. RefSeq lists it as uncharacterized. NCBI's taxonomy places the organism in Eukaryota, Metazoa, Chordata, Chondrichthyes, Myliobatiformes, Dasyatidae. The record is from RefSeq and is a predicted model, not a curated record. The transcript has 2 exons.